Molecule: long non-coding RNA, 399 nt
Organism: Etheostoma spectabile (orangethroat darter)
Lineage: Eukaryota; Metazoa; Chordata; Actinopteri; Perciformes; Percidae
Exons: 3
Source: RefSeq, a predicted model, not a curated record
UGAAUGACAUUUGUUGAGGAAUUAAUCAGAUUGGAUAAAAUAACAUGGAUCCAAUUCUGAUUCGCCAGGGAUGCAGCGCGUCGGGAGGAGAAUCUUUAAGAAACCAAUUAGAGACCAGCUUCAGAUCACAUGCUUGUCGAAAGUUUAAGGGCUCAGAUGGACAUCCAUUUUUCCGGCAUUCAUGCCCAUGAAACCGCAUGAAACAUAUUUAAACAUAGAAUAUAGUUAAUUGACUAAAGCCAGUUUUUUAUUAAAUGCUGAGGCUCUUACUACCAGAAGGGUAAUUGUAUGAGUAAACUAUUUCAUUUUAUUUUUCAUUUUUAUUUUCAUUUUUGUUUACAUUUAUGUUUCUGGAAUUUGAUGGGGGCGGUGCCCUAGCGUCCUCUGAAACACAAGCCG